This 1272-nucleotide long non-coding RNA is filed under the name Salvia miltiorrhiza (redroot sage). RNAcentral describes it as "long non-coding RNA (SMIL_LNC005439)". Lineage: Eukaryota; Viridiplantae; Streptophyta; Magnoliopsida; Lamiales; Lamiaceae. The record is from RNAcentral.
CCCGUUGCAGUACGAGAGCCUGACGUGUGAAAGAAAAAACAUGAUUUUGCAGAUGAGAUUAGAGGGUUUUAUAGCUUUUUUUGCUCUGUGCCAAGUCUGAUUUAUAUUCCUCUUCUGUUACAACUUUUUGGGAUUUUCAGAAGUGUGUUGAUUGACAGGCUUAUAUAUGUGUUUGGAGCUAAAACCUGAUAAAUAGUAGCAGCAGAUGUAAAAGGUUGUUCAAUCAAGCAGAGACCAAGCUUCUUCUGCAUUGGGUAUAAUAAUUAGUUGCAUUGGGUAUAAUAAUUAGUUUUACACAUUUUUUCAUUUUUGGUGUUAGCCUUUUCAAGAUUUCAAUUAUAUUAGUCAUUAGAUAGCAAAUACAUAUAGAUGGUGAAUUGAAAAUUUGAGUUGAAUAAAGAUAAGAUUCAUAUAUCUCAAACUGGAGACAUAGGAUGUGCUCUUUGGUGGAUAAAUUUAUCAUGAGAAAAUGAGAGAUAAUAAAAAUGUAUGCCUUUAAAUGUCUCAUUUCUUUUAUCUCAUUUUCUAUAAAAGAGAAGCUCACCAUUUUUUGUUCUUUCUUUUCACUUCAAGGAAGCAUAAUAUUAUCACUCUAAAAAUGAAGUGAUAAUAUUAUCCCUUGUUUAUUUUGAUAAAUUGAAAUUUUAGAAUAUCUCAAGAUCAAGUACAUUGAAAGCAUGUAAAGAUAUGUCUAGACGUUUUUCUAAAAAGUUAUUUCAUCUUCUAAAAAAAUAAAUUAAUUUUCAUUAUUAAUACAUAACAUUUUAAUUUAACUUGAAGAUUGAUUCAAAUUCAACAUUGAAAAUUAAUUAAGAAAUAGAAUUGGAACAAAAAAUGACAUAAUUUUAACUAACUAGUAUAACAAAUUAAUGUAAAAUGUUAGGCCAUUAACAUAGAUACUACAAUUAUUAAAAUAAUAUAUUAUAUUCCUUUUUUUUUAUAUUAUAUGCAUAUAUAAUAAAAAAAAUUCAAAAUUUGGGAGCGGGCUUCAGUCCCUGGAGCCAGGAAUUAAGUUGGGGGGGGGGCUGUGCGGGGGUUCGGGGGGCGGCAAGGUUCCCCCGAAAUUUUUUUUUUUGGGUCAUUCUCNUUAUAGCUUUUUUUGCUCUGUGCCAAGUCUGAUUUAUAUUCCUCUUCUGUUACAACUUUUUUGGGAUUUUCAGAAUUGUUGAUUGACAGGCUUAUAUAUGUGUUUGGAGCUAAAACCUGAUAAAUAGUAGCAGCAGAUGUAAAAGGUUGUUCAAUCAAGCAGAGACCAAGCUUCUUCUGCAUUGG